AACGAACGCUGGCGGCAGGCUUAACACAUGCAAGUCGAACGCCCCGCAAGGGGAGUGGCAGACGGGUGAGUAACGCGUGGGGACAUACCCUUUUCUACGGAAUAGCUCUGGGAAACUGGAAUUAAUACCGUAUACGCCCUACGGGGGAAAGAUUUAUCGGGGAAGGAUUGGCCCGCGUUGGAUUAGCUAGUUGGUGGGGUAAAGGCCUACCAAGGCGACGAUCCAUAGCUGGUCUGAGAGGAUGAUCAUCCACAUUGGGGCUGAGACACGGCCCGAACUCCUACGGGAGGCAGCAGUGGGGGAUAGUGGACAAUGGGGUCAAGCCUGAUCCAGCCAGGCCGCGUGAGUGAUGAAGGCCUUAGAGUUGUAAAGCUCUUUCACCGAUGAAGAUAAUGACGGUAGUCGGAGAAGAAGCCCCGGCUAACUUCGUG
RNAcentral lists this ribosomal RNA (431 nucleotides) under uncultured bacterium. RNAcentral's name for it is "partial 16S ribosomal RNA". It matches the Rfam family "Bacterial small subunit ribosomal RNA", at positions 29 to 507 of the family's 1533-position model. The record is from RNAcentral.